Molecule: ribosomal RNA, 595 nt
Filed under: Solicoccozyma sp.
Lineage: Eukaryota; Fungi; Basidiomycota; Tremellomycetes; Filobasidiales; Piskurozymaceae
Description: partial large subunit ribosomal RNA
Rfam family: Eukaryotic large subunit ribosomal RNA
Source: RNAcentral
AAACUAACAAGGAUUCCCCUAGUACGGCGAGUAAGCGGGAAAAGCUCAAAUUUGAAAUCUGGCAGCCUCAGGUUGCCCGAGUCGUAAUCUAUAGAAGCGUUUUCCUCGUUGGCCCAUGUACAACUCUCCUGGAAUGGAGCGUCAUAGAGGGUGAGAAUACCGUCCUUGACAUGGACUCCCACUGCUUUGUGAUACGUUUUCUAAGAGUCGAGUUGUUUGGGAAUACAGCUCAAAAUGGGUGGUAAAUUCCAUAUAAAGAUAAAUAUUGGCGAGAGACCGAUAUAGAACAAGUGCCGUGAGGGAAAGAGGAAAAGCACUUUGGAAAGAGAGAUAAACACUAUGUGAAAUUGUGGAAAGGGAAACGAUAGAAGUCACACAUGUGUAUUGGAGUCACACCGGUUCUGCGCGGUGUACUUCCUCUACGAGUGGGGUCAACAUCAAUUUUGAUCGGUGGAAAAGGGCAGGAGGAAUGUAGCACUCUCGGGGGAAGUUAUAGCCUUCUGUCGUAUACAGUGGUUGGGACUGAGGAACGCAGCAUGCCUUUAUGGCCGGGGUUCGCCCACGUACAGGCUAGGAGUGACAAAGUUCGGUUUUU